GGUUAGGCGUAGGCGGGGCAGUUAAGUCAGUGGUGAAAUCUUCGAGCUCAACUCGGAAACUGCCAUUGAUACUAUCUGUCUUGAAUACUGUGGAGGUGAGCGGAAUAUGUCAUGUAGCGGUGAAAUGCUUAGAUAUGACAUAGAACACCGAUUGCGAAGGCAGCUCGCUACACAAAUAUUGACGCUGAGGCACGAAAGCGUGGGGAUCAAACAGGAUUAGAUACCCGGGU
RNAcentral lists this ribosomal RNA (230 nucleotides) under uncultured bacterium. RNAcentral's name for it is "partial 16S ribosomal RNA". It matches the Rfam family "Bacterial small subunit ribosomal RNA", at positions 567 to 791 of the family's 1533-position model. The record is from RNAcentral.